UCUCCGUUGGUGAACCAGCGGAGGGAUCAUUACAAAUUUACGCUGCGCGCCUAGGAGGCAACUCCCUGGCGACCGGCAAAAACCCAGUGAACUUAACCUUAUGUUGCCUCGGCGUCACAGCUGCCCCUUCUAGGAGGGGCCCGACGUCAAAGGACCCGAAAAACUCUUUACCCUUUGAGAUAUAUCUGAUUACUUUUAUACAAAUGUUAUAAAACUUUCAACAACGGAUCUCUUGGCUCCAGCAUCGAUGAAGAACGCAGC
Molecule: unclassified non-coding RNA, 261 nt
Filed under: uncultured fungus
Lineage: Eukaryota; Fungi
Description: sequence contains ITS1, 5.8S rRNA gene
Rfam family: 5.8S ribosomal RNA (bases 213-261)
Source: RNAcentral